CAGCGCUGUCUGGACGGCACAGUGACGCUGGACACGGGCUGUGUGACACUGGUGCCUCACAUAUAAACAAAACACUUCUUGCAUGGCUCUGUGGACCUUUAACAACUAACGUAAACAGUCUCAAUGUGGUUAGAGAGCUGAUAAAAGUACCUAAGGUUGAAAGAGGAUGACUCCAUUGAUGAAAAGUUAAGAGUUGAGUCCGCUGAGAGUGACCUGAAGUGAUAAUUGCAUGCUGCAUGUCUGAUAACCACCCAUCACCCACCUGCACUUCCUCUCAGUUCUGAUGCAUGGCCCCCUCUUUAGAUAUGAAUACGUCUCGCCGUUCCUUGCAUGUUGUGCUGUGAGAGUGGCAUCAUGAGGGAAGACAGGGAUAAUCCUCUGACACUGUCAUCCAAGAAACCAUGCCUGGGCCAGGCGGACUAUGGACGAGAGCUGGAGAAGCUGCGUGCUGAUUGGGAUGCAGAGAAGAAGCUAACGCAGCGGGCCCGUGGACACCUCUCUGUGGAGCUGAGGCACCUGCGGCAAGAAGCAGAGAGGGAACAGCAGAGGGCUGUGAGGGAGCUGGCAGCCAGACGAAGGUGCCAAAAGGACGGGCACUCUAACAGAAACCAGCGUCUGCUGGCUAAGGAGGUGAACAUUAACGACAGUGGACGUCACACUGAAGUCGAGUCCACAGAAAAAGAGGCUUUUUGUUUGUGUGGUGGAGAAACUUACACUAAGCUUGAGCAGUUGCUGCUGACGCUAUAUGAGAAGAUAAAUGGUGAGCAGGCAGUCUAUAAAUUGCAUCACAGGCAGGAAUUGGAGCUAGAAAAGGCCAUCUUCCUCUGCCACCUGCUAGAGGCCCAUGGAAGACUGUUGCAGGGAAGGCAAAGAGCAGGAAAGCCCAGCUACAUUUCUAACAGUCUCUCAAGAAAGCCAACUCUGGAAGACGGUAGUAACUCCUGUCAGACAAAGCCUCUUCUAACCUGCUCCAGGGCCUUGCCACAGAGAUCCCAGACUGCUUCCCACUCACCUAAAAAGAAAACCAAACAAGAUCUGAGAGAGCAGCCUUCAGGGAGGGCCGUCUGUGCAGCUGACCCCUGCACCUCCGCUGCAGUUGUGGACACCUGUCAGAGUGGCUCGCUGACAAUUUGUCACCCUCACAACGCUCCCCAUGCAGGCUGGGACGACCAGCCCCCCUACUGCGCCGAGUCCUCUGGGUCAGACAAGUCAUCGCCCUCCAAAUGCAUGGACAGAAACAUGGAGAAUGGUACCGACUAUGGCUUCCUGGUGCGUCAGAACUCUGAGCUCUUGCGAGCCCUCGAUGAGCUGGAGAAGACUUGUACCACACUGAGGGAGGAGAAUGGCCUGCUGGUGAGACUAAAAAUAACAGAGUUUGUAGUCUUGACUGAAGGCUUCCUAGAAAGUAGGCCAGGUGCACAGAAACAGCCAA
RNAcentral lists this long non-coding RNA (1432 nucleotides) under Cottoperca gobio. RNAcentral's name for it is "lncRNA (ENSCGOG00000019017.1)". The record is from RNAcentral. Lineage: Eukaryota; Metazoa; Chordata; Actinopteri; Perciformes; Bovichtidae.